GGAGAUACUGUGCAGCUAGGGAGUGGGAGAGGUAGACGGUACUCGGUAGGAAGGGGUAAAAUCCUUUGAUCUAUUGAUGACCACCUGUGGCGAAGGCGGUCUACUAGAACACGUCCGACGGUGAGGGAUGAAAGCUGGGGGAGCAAACCGGAUUAGAUACCCGGGUAGUCCCAGCUGUAAACAAUGCAAACUCAGUGAUGCAUUGGCUUGUGGCCAGUGCAGUGCCACAGGGAAGCCGUUAAGUUUGCCGCCUGGGAAGUACGUACGCAAGUAUGAAACUUAAAGGAAUUGGCGGGGGAGCACCACAAGGGGUGAAGCCUGCGGUUCAAUUGGAGUCAACGCCAGAAAUCUUACCCGGAGAGACAGCAGAAUGAAGGUCAAGCUGAAGACUUUACCAGACAAGCUGAGAGGUGGUGCAUGGCCGUCGCCAGCUCGUGCCGUGAGAUGUCCUGCUAAGUCAGGUAACGAGCGAGAUCCCUGCCUCUAGUUGCCACCAUUACUCUCAGGAGUAGUGGGGCGAAUUAGCGGGACCGCCGCAGUUAAUGCGGAGGAAGGAAGGGGCCACGGCAGGUCAGUAUGCCCCGAAACUCUGGGGCCACACGCGGGCUGCAAUGGUAAUUACAAUGGGUUCCAAAUCCGAAAGGAGAAGGUAAUCCUCAAAUGUUACCACAGUUAUGACUGAGGGCUGCAACUCGCCCUCACGAAUAUGGAAUCCCUAGUAACCGCGUGUCAUUACCGCGCGGUGAAUACGUCCCUGCUCCUUGCACACACCGCCCGU
This 778-nucleotide ribosomal RNA is filed under the name uncultured archaeon. RNAcentral describes it as "bacterial SSU rRNA". It matches the Rfam family "Archaeal small subunit ribosomal RNA", at positions 577 to 1353 of the family's 1478-position model. The record is from RNAcentral.